Molecule: signal recognition particle RNA, 264 nt
Filed under: Clostridiales bacterium
Lineage: Bacteria; Bacillati; Bacillota; Clostridia; Eubacteriales
Description: signal recognition particle sRNA large type
Rfam family: Bacterial large signal recognition particle RNA
About the family: The signal recognition particle (SRP) is a universally conserved ribonucleoprotein involved in the co-translational targeting of proteins to membranes. Archaeal SRP consists of a 7S RNA and homologues of the eukaryotic SRP19 and SRP54 proteins.
Source: RNAcentral
CCGUGCUAUAUGGGGAGCUGGCGGUGCCCUGUAACCUGCAACCCGCCAUAGCAGGAUAGAACACCCACCGAGGCAUUCUCUAUGGAAAACCGGUACGAAUAAGGGAUGUUGAUAACAAGGUCUUGUGCAAUUUUGCGUUGUGAACCGUGUCAGAGCUUGACCGCAGCAGCACUAAACAAAUAGUGAGAUGUGCCACAAGGAAGCUUUGGAGGAGUUACCUAUUCGAUAUACGAUUCGGUAGGACUUGUCGGAGUGGGCGCACGG